GGCAGAGCAGCAGGGCAACUUGCUGCUGUGGUUUCCAAGUAUCGAUAAUAGGUAACUUACCCUGAAUACAAUAGGGGUAAAGUGGCGAACGCGGGGAACUGAAACAUCUAAGUACCCGUAGGAAAGGACAUCAACCGAGACUCCGGAAGUAGUGGCGAGCGAACCCGGACCAGGCCAGUGGCGAUUGAGAGACAAGCGGAACCUUCUGGAAAGUAGGGCCAUAGUGGGUGACAGCCCCGUACGCGUAAUGCAAUCAAUCGUCCUCGAGUAAGGCGGGACACGUGAAAUCCUGUCUGAAAUUGGGGGGACCACCCUCCAAGCCUAAGUACUCGUGCAUGACCGAUAGCGAACUAGUACCGUGAGGGAAAGGUGAAAAGCACCCCGACAAGGGGAGUGAAAGAGUACCUGAAACCGAUUGCCUACAAACAGUGGAAGCCCAAGGUUCGUCCUGGGUGACCACGUACCUUUUGUAUAAUGGGUCAGCGACUUAGUGUGACGAGCAAGCUUAAACCGCUAGGUGUAGGCGCAGCGAAAGCGAGUCUGAACAGGGCGUUCAGUUCGUCGCAUUAGACCCGAAACCGAGUGAUCUAGCCAUGAGCAGGUUGAAGGUAAGGUAACACUUACUGGAGGACCGAACCCAUAACUGUUGCAAUAGUUCGGGAUGACUUGUGGCUAGGGGUGAAAGGCCAAUCAAACUCGGAAAUAGCUGGUUCUCCGCGAAAUCUAUUUAGGUAGAGCGUCGACCGAAUACCCCAGGGGGUAGAGCACUGGAUGGGCUAGGGGUCCUCACCGGAUUACCAAACCUAACCAAACUCCGAAUACCUGGGAGUACUAGUCGGCAGACACACGGCGGGUGCUAACGUCCGUCGUGAAAAGGGAAACAACCCUGACCUACAGCUAAGGUCCCCAAGUUAUGGCUAAGUGGGAAAGGAUGUGAGGAUCCCAAAACAACCAGGAUGUUGGCUUAGAAGCAGCCAUCAUUUAAAGAAAGCGUAACAGCUCACUGGUCUAAAUAAGGGUCUUUGCGCCGAAAAUGUAACGGGGCUAAAGCCAUACACCGAAGCUUAGGGUUUGGUCCGCAAGGGCCAAGCGGUAGCGGAGCGUUCUGUAAGCUGAUGAAGCCAUACCCGUGAGGGGUGGUGGAGGUAUCAGAAGUGCGAAUGCUGACAUGAGUAACGUAAGGGGAGUGAGAGACUCCCCCGCCGAAAGACCAAGGGUUCCUGCUUAAAGCUAAUCUGAGCAGGGUUAGCCGGCCCCUAAGACGAGGCGGAAACGCGUAGUCGAUGGGAACCACGUUAAUAUUCGUGGGCUUGGAGGUAGUGACGGAUCAUUGAGGUAGUCCAAUCUUAUCGGAUUGAACGGGCUGCUGCGUGGUUCCAGGAAAUAGCUCCUCCUUAUAAACCGUACCCGAAACCGACACUGGUGGUCUGGUAGAGUAUACCAAGGCGCUUGAGAGAACUAUGCUGAAGGAACUCGGCAAAUUGCACGCGUAACUUCGGAAGAAGCGUGACCCUUUUCCACGCAAGUGGAGGAGGGUGGCACAGACCAGGGGGUAGCGACUGUUUAUCAAAAACACAGGGCUCUGCGAAGUCGCAAGACGACGUAUAGGGUCUGACGCCUGCCCGGUGCUGGAAGGUUAAGAGGACCCGUUAACCCGUAAGGGUGAAGCGGAGAAUUUAAGCCCCAGUAAACGGCGGUGGUAACUAUAACCAUCCUAAGGUAGCGAAAUUCCUUGUCGGGUAAGUUCCGACCUGCACGAAUGGCGUAACGACUUCUCUGCUGUCUCAACCACGAACUCGGCGAAAUUGCAUUACGAGUAAAGAUGCUCGUUACGCGCAGCAGGACGGAAAGACCCCGAGACCUUCACUAUAGUUUGGUAUUGGGAUUCGGUGUGGUUUGUGUAGGAUAGGUGGAAGACGUAGAGGCCUCGACGCUAGUUGGGGUGGAGUCGAUCGGUGAAAUACCACUCUGACCAUAGUGGAUUCCUGAACUUCGGACCCUGAUCGGGUUCAGGGACAGUGCCUGAUGGGUAGUUUAACUGGGGCGGUUGCCUCCUAAAGAGUAACGGAGGCGCCCAAAGGUUCCCUCAGCCUGGUUGGCAAUCAGGUGUCGAGUGUAAGUGCACAAGGGAGCUUGACUGUGAGACGGACGUGUCGAGCAGGAGCGAAAGCUGGGACUAGUGACCCGGCCAUGGCUUGUGGAAGCGUGGUCGCUCAACGGAUAAAAGGUACCUCGGGGAUAACAGGCUGAUCUUGCCCAAGAGUCCAUAUCGACGGCAUGGUUUGGCACCUCGAUGUCGGCUCGUCGCAUCCUGGGGCUGGAGUCGGUCCCAAGGGUUGGGCUGUUCGCCCAUUAAAGCGGUACGCGAGCUGGGUUUAGAACGUCGUGAGACAGUUCGGUCCCUAUCCGCUGCGUGCGUAGGAAAUUUGUGGAGGUCUGUCCUUAGUACGAGAGGACCGGGACGGACGAACCUCUGGUGUGCCAGUUGUUCCGCCAGGAGCAUGGCUGGUUGGCUACGUUCGGGAUGGAUAACCGCUGAAAGCAUCUAAGCGGGAAGCCUGCUCCGAGAUGAGAUUUCCAUCCAACAUUGUGUUGGGGGAGGUGUCCUAUAGAUGAUGGGGUUGAUAGGCCGGGUAUGGAAGCACUGUAAGGUGUGGAGUUGACUGGUACUAAUACACCGAUCACUCAUCCAA
This 2693-nucleotide ribosomal RNA is filed under the name Ixodes ricinus (castor bean tick). RNAcentral's name for it is "bacterial LSU rRNA". It matches the Rfam family "Bacterial large subunit ribosomal RNA". The record is from RNAcentral. Lineage: Eukaryota; Metazoa; Arthropoda; Arachnida; Ixodida; Ixodidae.